Long non-coding RNA from Zerene cesonia (dogface butterfly), 468 nucleotides. RefSeq lists it as uncharacterized. The record is from RefSeq and is a predicted model, not a curated record. NCBI's taxonomy places the organism in Eukaryota, Metazoa, Arthropoda, Insecta, Lepidoptera, Pieridae. The transcript is spliced from 4 exons.
CUGCUUUCUCAUCAGACGGUGCUCGACCACAGAAUAUACACUUUAAACUUUUAUACUGUGCUCGACGGUCAUCAAUAUAGAUCAGAUUUUAAACCGAUCAGGCAACUGAGCUGGUGGUUCGACUGAUGAUGAGCGAUCAUGAUUGCCCAUGGACAUUUGCAGAGGUAGUGCCCCGGAGAAUACACUGCUCGCUUUUAAGGGCACUAUGAAGUGUAGCCGCAAACAAAGUCAUGUGAAACUAGAAGAAUUGACACAAGGCAUCUUCCUCUGCAGAGUUUGACACCAGAACAGUUCAACAACAACAGAACAACCUUCCGUUGCAGUGUAUGGGUCCCGCAGCGAAAUGGCAAAAAUCGGAACCCUUGUAGAUUCGUCAUGCCUGUCUGUGCGUCUGUGCGUCUGCCUGCAUGUGUACAGCAUGUCACAGCCGCUUGAUUCAGUAACUCCUAAGUCUAUGGAGUUGAAACU